Trachymyrmex cornetzi is the source of this 46-nucleotide non-coding RNA. The record is from Rfam. NCBI's taxonomy places the organism in Eukaryota, Metazoa, Arthropoda, Insecta, Hymenoptera, Formicidae.
CAAUCGGCCCUUUUCAGGGCUAUCUACUUGUAAAUACAACGGUGUA